AUACUCUCAACCUUCUUGGUUUCUUUGACCAUGAAGGCUUGGACUUUGGAGGUUUUUCUUGCUGGCCUCUUUAGAAGCCAGCUCCUCCUAAAUGAAUGGGUGGGGUCCGCUUUGCUGAUCCUCGACGUGAUAAGCAUCUCUUCUACGUCUCAGUGUCAGCUCGGAACCCGCUUUCCAACCGUCUUUGGACAAAGACAAUGUUCGAGUUGCGACUCGACCUUACAAA
This 226-nucleotide unclassified non-coding RNA is filed under the name uncultured Russula. RNAcentral's name for it is "sequence contains ITS2". The record is from RNAcentral. Lineage: Eukaryota; Fungi; Basidiomycota; Agaricomycetes; Russulales; Russulaceae.